UUUAGUACUCGGACUUCAAGAG
This 22-nucleotide microRNA is filed under the name Anolis carolinensis (green anole). RNAcentral describes it as "aca-miR-5441". The record is from miRBase by way of RNAcentral. Lineage: Eukaryota; Metazoa; Chordata; Lepidosauria; Squamata; Anolidae.